GCGUUCCCGUGAAGGUAGUGGUGUCCCAAUUCCUCUUUUCACCUAGGGGGAGGGGGCAUAACGAGGGCUAGGGGCUGAGAAUAGCCCCUUCAAAUCGAGGGAUUUCAGAUGCUGACUUGGCGAGCGAGGGGGUAUGAAAAUCUCCCAGAAUGCUUUUCGUCGUCAUUUGCAGACUGAAUCAAAAAAAAAAAACAUGGAGGACAUUUCCUGUUUUUUUGGGAAUAAAAUCAAUAUUUUGAGUUAGUUUCUGCAUAAAAAUGCGUUUUGAUUACAUUUCCUUUUGCAAACCGAUAUUUUACUUUCAUAAUAUUCACUCAGUGAAUGUACAUAAUCCCUUUUUUGUCCGUUGUUCGCUAAGAUCGCGCCGGAAUAUGGUUACGUAACCUACGUAAGCUACGCCGUAGGCUGCGUCUAUUUAAAGCUCGCCGACCGAGGAAAAGGAAAAAGGAAAAGUUUUUUUGAGUCAAAAGGCGACCCGCAAAGAGCAGGAGGAUAUUGAAAAGAAAACACACAAAUGGACUCCGGAUCAGGUCCGACACCUAAUAAGCUUUAGGACUACCAACGAGGAGAAUUUUACUAAGAAGAAAUAUGCUGCUAAACCACUGUGGGAGUGAGUGAUCUAGCUAUCUGCUUGCAGAAUAUCUGUGAUGGGGUGUGAUGGUAUAACUACUAUUCAUCACUGAAAAUCUUAAAAAAAAAUAUAAGACAGUGGGGAGGCCACAGCAGCCUCAUGGCCUUUCUACAAAGAGAUGCAUGAGGUUUUGGGGUCCAGACCUUCAAUCCAGCCUCCAUGUUUGUUGGCGUCUUAUGAAGAUCCCACGCACUGAACAUAAUCGACCCUCCAUCCUCACCGGUGUCCUCUCUGACAAAUUCAGAGGAAAGCACAGAGAACACUUUGGAAGACGCCAGCACAUCGGCCCCAAGCUCUGCCUCACCAGCUGGAAGAGGAAGAGGAAGCUGGAAGCUUCAGGCAUCAGGUCCACUUUCCCCCCGAUCCCCCCAAAAAGAAACUCUCUAUGCGGGACUUCCUUCAAGCUGAGGCCGCCAAAGAAGACAGAAAAUGUCAAAAGAAUGAAGAACACAUGGACAGGUUCAGCUUUUAGAGAAAAUGGUGGACCAGACACCUCAUCAGCAGUAGCAGCACAUACACUGCAAACUUUUUUUUUUGUAAAUAUUUCUUUGCAAUUUUUUUUAUAUGGAACAGCACCUUUCUUUGUUUUGCGUGCAAUGUUUACUUUUUUUCUUUUUAAAAAUUGUACUUGAAUAUAGAAAAU
Molecule: long non-coding RNA, 1274 nt
Organism: Cololabis saira (Pacific saury)
Lineage: Eukaryota; Metazoa; Chordata; Actinopteri; Beloniformes; Belonidae
Exons: 5
Source: RefSeq, a predicted model, not a curated record